AUUUUAAGGCUAAAAUAGAUUUUAAAGUGAAGAUACGAUCCCUAGUUGCAAUAGCACACCCUUCCACAAAUUAUUCACGAAUUAACAUAACCCAAAGCCCCCAGCUCAUAUUAAAUUCUGAUUCACCUCUCACCUUUGAACAAAACAUAGAUUUCAAAUUACCUCUAAAGCAAACAAGAUAUAAAAGAGUUGAAACUGAAUAAUGAAAAUUACUAAUUCUGAAAUCAAACUCCAAAAAUCAUUUGACAGUCUUUAAGGUUCACAUGACACGGACACAAGCAAAGGAAGGUUGAACUUCAAAAUUAUGCAAUUGAGCUAUUCUACAGACCAUGAAAAAAUUGACCAACAUAACAACCACGCUAAUUGAUAGGGAAAAUGGAUCUUAAAUCAGAUACCUAAAGAAACAAAUGACUAUUCUAAUGAACACUUAACCAUAACUAUAGGUAGUACUUGCAGAAAAACCCCACACAAUCCAUAUAUCAAAUUAACAACUCAUAUUCUUCAACUUAUGCAAAUAAUCCUAAUUAUGGGCAACUUAUAAACCAUACACAGGUGAGCAACAAACAAAAAAGAGUUAUUCUCCAUGCUAAUACCUCUAACUCGACAGAUUAACAAACUCCAUAUCCCGCCUUAAGAUAGAAGGCAACACAAAGGAUACAAAUGAGUACGAUAAAUAAUAGUUACAUUACACUACUUCAGAAAUUCAUAAAAGACAUAGCUAACAUUCCAUAGGAGGAGGAUAAUAUUCAUUUCUGAAAUCUUCAAUCAAUAAUAAUACUUCAAACUUGCAUUUCACAUAUUCAGAGAAUCAAGAAGUACCUGGAUGUAGAAAUCAAAGCAAGAAAGAGAUGAGAGGAUUAAUAGCAAUGGAGUAAACCCAACCUGCAAUUCAACGAUAGUGAACUCAACUUCUUCAAACCAUUUUCAAACCCUAUAUGAGUCAGAGAUAACUUCAGAAAAUGAAAACCUCAAGAAUUAAAGAAGAAUUUCAAUGGAACAGUGAUUUUAUGAUAUUUUCAGACCACUUUUCAAUAUCUUCAGCCGUUUCUUUUCAGAAUUUGUUUUGCUCUCCCAAAACCUCCCUUGAAUACCAAGUAACCAUGCCUUUAUGGGCAAACUAUUAGGGCAUCCUAAAAGAAAUCAGAUUUGCACUUUGCACCUUUUGAUAUUUUCAUUUUAGCUUAGAAAAUCUUAGUUUAAAAAUUAACUUUCCAUAUUAGUCCUAACAUCCAGCUUCCUAGAAGUUUCCUUAGGCUAUUACAAAUGAUUCCCUUAUCUACAAUUCCUAAUUUACCUCUUUACGCCUUGUUAAUUACUUAUGAAAAACCAGACCAAUAAUGGGUGAAAAUUGACCCAAUAACCCAAACCAAUUUGGACGGGCUACUCUUUGUCAAAUGAAUCAGAGGCAGCCUAAAACCCAAAGGACACACUUAUCUAAUUAAAAAAAAUCUGUAAGCACAUGAUAACAUGAAUACUGAAACGCUUCAAUAAAUCAAAAAAUCUAGACUAAACGAUGUACUAACCAAUUAACUAAAUUAAAAAAUCUAAACUAAACUAAUUAAUAGACUAAAUGUAUUAAUUAAAGAAAAAUAUUUAAAACUAACAUGCACAGAAAAACGUCCCUGGAGAAAUUAGAAGAAAUAGAGAGGAAUCAAGAAGACGAGAAGAAGCAGAAAAAUAGAAAAAGAAAAAUGAAGAAAAGAUUAAACGAAGGAGAAAAAGAAAAGAAAACCCUACCAAAGUUCAGACAGUGAAGAAAGGACCCUGAGUCUUCAAACCCUCGAAUUUUCAGCCAAAUCUAAUAUUAAUCGUGUGUUCUUAUAAAGAACACACGAAUAAAAUCAAAUUAGGCCUAAAUCUUCAACAAAAUUUCAAUUUGGACGCUUUUGGGAUUUUUAGGGUUCAUCUUUCGAUCUAAAAUUCGAGAAGUUCCUGGGAGAUUUGAAGCAAAUGGAGUGAGGAUUUGGAAUGAGGGGUCUUGGUGGUUACGGGGCGUUAUUUUGGAGUCGUUUGGGACUGGCGCCGCAGGCCUGAGACGGUAGGGAGAUGAGGCGGCUUCUAGGGUUUUGGUUAGAAGUCUCUGAAAAAGAAGGGGGUGAGGGAGACGAGUAAUAGAAGGGG
This 2121-nucleotide long non-coding RNA is filed under the name Nicotiana benthamiana. RNAcentral describes it as "long non-coding RNA (NBEN_LNC008386)". Lineage: Eukaryota; Viridiplantae; Streptophyta; Magnoliopsida; Solanales; Solanaceae. The record is from RNAcentral.